AUGCACCACUCGAUCGCGCACCAACGAACUAGGCAAGAACUCUCCUCGACCUCAUCCCUUCCCCUUCUCCUCCUCCUCCUUCCUCUCCUAGUCGUACCUCUUCUUUACUUGUACCUGCGGCGGCAGGACCCCAUGAAGCAGCCUUGUGCCCAUGGACUCAAGGUCUACCCAAUCCUAGGCACACUGCCGCACUUGCUCAAGAACCAAGACCGCUUCCUCGAGUGGUACACCGGCGUGAUGCAGAGCAGCCCUACCCAUACCCUGGUGUUCAAGGUGUCAGGUCUCGCCGGCGAAGCCAUCACGGCCGACCCGGCAAACGUGGAGCACAUACUCAGGGCUAACUUUGGGAAUUACCCCAAGGGCGAGCUUACGGUGUCCAUGUUCGAGGACUUUCUUGGCCACGGCAUCUUCAACUCUGAUGGGGAGCAGUGGCUGUGGCAGCGCAAGGCCGCUAGCUACGAGUUCAACAAGCGCUCCCUUAGGAACUUCGUCGUCGAUGUCGUCCGUUUCGAGGUUGUUGACCGGCUGGUGCCGCUGCUGGAGCGCGCGGCGCGCGACGCGCAGACCCUCGACCUGCAGGACGUGUUGGAGCGCUUUGCGUUCGACAACAUCUGCCGCGUGGCCUUCGGCCAGGACCCAGCCUGCCUCGCCGCCGCCGAGGAGGGCAUGGCCGCGCACCAGAGCGCGGCGGAGUUCAUGGCCGCGUUCACCGUCGCGCAGGACACCAUCGUGGCCCGGGUCUUGUCGCCUACCAAGUGGAUGUGGCGGGUCAAGAGGCUGCUCGACAUGGAGCCGGAGAGACGGAUGCGCUCCGCGCUCGCCAACAUCCACCGCUACUCCGAGCAGAUCGUCCGUGACCGCAGGGAGGCUGGGCGGGCGCGCAGAGACGACUUGCUGUCCCGCUUCGCCGCAGCUGGCGAGCACAGCGAUGAGAGCCUCCGCGACGUGGUCACCAACUUCAUCCUCGCCGGCCGCGACACUACCUCGUCGGCGCUGACCUGGUCCUUCUGGUUACUGUCCACGCGGCCCGACGUGGAAGCCAAGAUCAUGCGCGAGAUCCGCGCUUCAGCCCAGGGCACGGCGAAUUUCAGCUUGGACGAGCUGCGCCAAAUGCACUACCUCCACGCAACCAUCACCGAGUCGAUGCGGCUGUACCCGCCGGUGGCUGCCGACGUGCACAGCUGCAAGGAGGACGAUGUCCUUCCGGACGGCACGUUCAUCGGUAAAGGGUGGCUGAUGACAUACUGCGCCUUCGCGAUGGCUCGGCUGGAGAGCAUCUGGGGCGAGGACUGCGAGGAGUUCCGGCCGGAGAGGUGGCUUGACGGGGAGGGCGUGUUCCGGCCGGCGAGCCCGUUCAAGUACCCAGUCUUCCACGCGUGGCCGAGGAUGUGCCUCGGAAAAGAGAUGGCCUACAUACAGAUGAAGUACAUCGUGGCGUGCGUGUUGGAGAGGUUCAGCCUCCGGUACGUCGGCGGCAAGGGGCAUCCGAAGCUCGUAAUGUUAAUGACGCUGCGGAUGGGAGGCGGCUUGCCAAUGCAGGUGAAGAACAAGGGAGGCUAG
RNAcentral lists this ribosomal RNA (1560 nucleotides) under Triticum aestivum (bread wheat). RNAcentral describes it as "partial small subunit ribosomal RNA". Lineage: Eukaryota; Viridiplantae; Streptophyta; Magnoliopsida; Poales; Poaceae. The record is from RNAcentral.